AAGGGAGACCUAAUUCAGGUAUGGGACGAAAAAAAAGUAGUCGCUAUCAAGAAUCAAUCCCAAAAGGUCGGAGCGAGGUAUGAGGCUUUCAAACUAGGUUCUGGGUUCAAACAAGACCUGAAUCAGGAACAAGGGCUAUUAGCUCAGGUGGUUAGAGCGCACCCCUGAUAAGGGUGAGGUCCCUGGUUCGAGUCCAGGAUGGCCCACCUGCACAGGUGGCAAAAACAAGAGAAGCGAGGAAUCAGCACCUUAUCUUAUCUAUAUAUAAGAGAGAAUGCUGGCUCUGAGUAAAGAGUCCAGAGGAACCUUGAAAACUGCAUAGAGCUAGGUGAAAAAGCCAAAAAAGAAGACCGCAA
This 356-nucleotide transfer RNA is filed under the name uncultured Microcystis sp. RNAcentral's name for it is "partial 16S-23S ribosomal RNA intergenic spacer". The stretch from base 133 to 206 matches the Rfam family "tRNA". The record is from RNAcentral. Lineage: Bacteria; Bacillati; Cyanobacteriota; Cyanophyceae; Chroococcales; Microcystaceae.